UAGGUUUAAAGCAGGCAGAUCCAUUUUCUGCCACCGAAUACAUUAGCAUGGGAUAAUGGAAUAGGACCCUGUCCUCCUAUUUUCAGUUGGUUUUGACACCCCAGGACCAAGGUAAUGAAUAAAAAGGAUAGUUGGGGGCAUUAAUAUUUAAUUGGCAAAAGUGAAAUUCUUGGAUUUAUGAAAAAAUAACUUCUGCCAAAGCAUCUGCCCAGGAUGUUUUCCUUAAUCAAGAACGAAAGUUAAGGGAUCCAAAACCAACCAAUACCGUCCUAAUCCUAACCAUAAACCAAGCCCACCCACCAUUAAGAAACGUUGAAUACCAAACACCCCCCUUCGUGCCGUCCUCCCUGGCAUUUUUCCUUUUCCCACGCCCCCCCCCGGGGGGGGAACAACCUGGCGUCACGGAUUAAUGACCCCCCCCCCCCCUGGAAAAAGAGAAAA
Molecule: ribosomal RNA, 441 nt
Filed under: Acanthamoeba sp.
Lineage: Eukaryota; Discosea; Longamoebia; Acanthamoebidae
Description: partial small subunit ribosomal RNA
Rfam family: Eukaryotic small subunit ribosomal RNA
Source: RNAcentral